UCGGACUGUAGUCUGCAACCCGACUACACGAAGCCGGAAUCGCUAGUAAUCGCGAAUCAGAAUGUCGCGGUGAAUACGUUCCCGGGUCUUGUACACACCGCCCGUCACACCAUGGGAGUCGGAAAUGCCCGAAGUCAGUGACCCAACCGCAAGGAGGGAGCUGCCGAAGGCAGGCCCGGUAACUGGGGUGAAGUCGUAACAAGGUACC
This 208-nucleotide ribosomal RNA is filed under the name uncultured bacterium. RNAcentral describes it as "partial 16S ribosomal RNA". It matches the Rfam family "Bacterial small subunit ribosomal RNA", at positions 1293 to 1500 of the family's 1533-position model. The record is from RNAcentral.